CACGAGGAGGGAGGAGACCUGCAGACACACGGCUGAGUGAGGGGAGCAUCCUGGACCACUUUAGACCUGACUAAGUCUGCGUCUCUGACCCCUCAGACCCACGUGUCCUGCUGCAGAGUUUGUCAUUUCAGUGAUUCUUUUACCUGCUGAAGGUUUCGCUGAUAGAUGGGCUUUAUUAUUUUUUAUUGAUCUGCUACAAUAUGAAGCUGCUUGAUAUUGUCACGACUCAAAGCUGCUUUGAUUAAUGAUCGAUCAACCCCAAAAACACUCUUCAGGCCUGUAACAUGAUGGACAUUUACUCUUUUAGUUUGCAGUGGGAAAGAUUUCAGCUGACACGGCUAACAUAUCACUUCAAACACAUCACAUAAAAGCUUUCAAACACGACCCUUUGAUGCAAAAUUAUGAAUGAAAAAACAUACAGUUGGUGGCAUCUGAAUCGCAAGAAACGUUGGUCUUGACACCGAGGAUUCGCAGUAGGAGUUUACUCACUUCGGGCUUUUUCUUGGUUGGUGUUCGAGUUUAUUUAGAAACUUGUUCAAGAAUUUUUUGGGAUUUCUGUCUUUGAUAAAGAGACUUUAGUUUGUGCAGACGCAGAGCCUCUAAACUGUUGCAUCAGUUCUUGUUAAUAAUUGUGAAACUUUGAUAAAAACUGUCAAUCUUGUUAAUUUAUCUUUUUGGUUCGUGUAUCUCAUGGAAACAUUUGUCUUUUCCCAACUCUGCUGAUAUCUUUCUCCCAUCACUGCAGGAAUGUGAUGCCUAGAUUCCAAAAUGCAUACAAAAAAAAAUGUAAAAAAUUUUGCACAAGGAUGCAUGAAAUAUAAUUUUUGACACUUAAAAUUGCACGUAGGAUAUUUUUGGUGUAAAAUUCUCAACAUGAUUAUUUCAGGUGGUUUUUAAGAAACUUACCUCGCUGGAAUAAAAACACAAAUUUGCAUUUUUUUUUUUAAUUAAAAAAAGAGACGAACUGGAAGAUAAAAUGACACACUGGUGCCUGUAAAAGCUGUUUGAUAUUUACUCCAAAAGCGGUCAUUAUCUCUGACUGUUCGUCCACACGAUCAAAAACAUCAUUAUGGUGUAAAAGACAGUCACCCGAGUUUGUUGGUGAUGCUGUUUUAACUCAGUUUAAGUGUGACUGAAAUCUGAUGCAGAAAAAUUGCAAUUUGGUGCAUAAAAAAAUGCAAGAACUUGAGUUUGUUGCUGAAAAUGUUGUGGUGCGAUUGAGCUGUUUUGAUACUACCCAGUAAUAUUCAUUUGUCCCCCUCUUCAGGGUCGAUAACGUCACAGAUUAUUCCCUCACUCUCCCGGGUUUGAUUUGCGUUACAGUUUUAUUUUAAAGGUCCACUUUCAGACUUUGACAUCUGACUCUGCUUUAAGUAACGGAGCUCAAACACUCCAACACUGACGCUGCAGACCUGUGGAAGAACGAUUUAAAUGUUUUUUGUCUCGUGGUUUUUAAUCCAUCACUGAAAGUUUCCCUUUUUUGCAGCUAUUGUAAGUUUAUUGAUCACCUCAUUUAUCGUGUCAGUAAAGCAGCAGUUAGAGGUCAUAAUCUCAACUUUAGGAAACAGGCAGAGUGAAACGUUCCACACCGUUCUGCUUUCCCUCACAUAUUCAUUAUUGAUCUUCUUAAUUUAGAUCCCUUUGAGGAAAUCAUGUCUGUGAAACACUUCUUAUUAAAUGAUCUGCAGUUUCCACCAGAUCCAGCAUUAGCGGGCAAAAAUAACCGCUCUGUUCAGUGUUUUUGUGACGUUCGUGAGUUUUGGAUAGAGUUAAUGUCGAGUUUAAAAAGAUCUCUCUGGAUUUAUUUUCGAGGUUCAGUCUCCCAGUUCUGGGAAUUUGUCUGCAGCCUUUCGGUGUUGCAUGAAAUCCUCCCGACAUGAAUUUAUCAGUCAUUUUUUAAGUGCACAGUUAUGGGGGCCAAUCUGACUUUUAGACCUCGAGUGAGGACAUGUUAAAACAGAAAAGAAGGUUGUAAAUGCAUGAGUGUCACUCCACAUGUAACUGUAGGUGUAUUCAGGGAUUUAUAAACAGCUGUGCUGCAGGUUGCAAAAGGUUUUCUGCAAGAUUACAAGAGAGGAGAUUUCCAAAACCGGUGAGAAACCAUGAGCGCAAUUUUGUUCUUUUGCAGUAAGAUAAAAAAAUAAAGAUGACAAAUUUCUGCUCCAUGUUUGACCCCUCAGAUAAUUUAUUUUGGAGUGAGAUCAUCUCAGAUCAGCAGAUUUUAUCUGUGUUUUUAGUGAUAAAACUUUCCUCUUGAAUUCUUUUUAGCUCCAGUUUCUAAAUAGAAAAUCUCCCAUGACUACGAGUGCUUCUGUUCAGUAUGAGCAAUCAGAUUUCUGAGUUUAUAACGUUUAGAGGUUAGGAUGCUUUUGGAAAGUUGAGGACAAAAACCAAACCUUAAGACUGAACUCAAGUUUUUGAGAAGAGAGUGCACUGAGUCAGUGAUGCCACUCGAAUAACAUAAAACCACAAACACAUGGUGUAAAUAUAUAUGACCCUUCUUUUAGGGAAAGGAGAUUUGCACGCAUACAGACUGCGUCAGAAAACAUCCAAAGCAAAAGAUCAAAUAUGAAAUGUUUCAGAAAUGCAAAAAGAAGUUCUGAAAUUUGUCUUCAACCUCAGUCAGGAGUAAAUGAAGACGCUUUCUUUCAUAUUAGUUAUUAUCUUUAGGAUUACAUUUCAUGAUCUAGUUUUUAAGUGAAAAUCAGACAAAUAUUGAUCUGUCUGAUAUUAGCUGGAACAGAAUAAAAGCACAUUAAGGUCGAAUAAAACGCUCCAGUUUAAACCCUGACAUUCAGAAAACAUCUUUAUUUCUCUGAUUUGAUCCUCUCUGCCCUCCUGGUUUGAAGUCUGCACCCGAGUGGGAAUUAGUCCGCUAAAACCAGCCGUGUUGUUUGCCGGCUUUUUGUUGGGAAUGACCCCCUCCAGCUUACUCCCGGACUAAUCCCCUUUCUCCCCCAACACAAAAACCUCCUCCUCCCUCCCUCCCCCUCCUCCUCUCCUCCUCUCAUUCAUCCCCAGCAGAAGGAAAUCAUUUAACACACACAUAUAUGCAGGUGUUUACUGCGGGGGUAAAGAGAGGGGUGAGGUUGGAGGACUCAGGAUGGAGGGGGGUGGGUUGAAGAAUUAGACAUUCACGGUACGGCUGAUACUCUUGUUGUGGGAUUUACCUUUGAGAUCUAGAUUAGCAAGGCCACGACCCGGAGCAGGGAGUGAGGAAAAGAAAGUUGUUGUUUUUUUCUGCUCGGCCUGAAAAUGUCAAAUUUAAAAAGUGUUUCAAGCAAAACAGGAAUUUUUCAGACAGUGCAAAGCUGAAGAAUUUUCAGACAUGCAGAGGGGUACUUUGUUAGAAUCAAGGCAAAGAUCCUUCUGAAAGGAGCCUUUUUUAUCUCCAAAAGUGCAUUUUCCACACAGGUAAAUAUCAGACUAGAUGAUGAAACUGAGAUUUGUCUUUUAAAAAUAUCUGACAUCUGUCAAACAUUGCAAAGAAAACACUGACAAAUCAAAAGAACAACUAGAUUAAUGAUCAUAAUGAACAGAAUCUCUUGAAUCCGCUGUUUUUGCCUUGAUUGGUGUAAAUUUUCUGCCUUUUAAUAAACAAAAAUUUAAAUACAAAUGUAGUGCAACUCCUCACACAGUAAGUCUAGAAGUAUUUGUCAGAGCUGACAUGUUUUUACACCCUCCAAACAAAAAUAUUAGCUCUCCAAAUUAACCCUCAACCAACAAGUGUUUAUCCACCGGCACAAACUUGUUUUCGCUCCUGCGCACAAAAGGCUAACUCGACAGAAUUCUUACAAUUAUAGAUAUUAGAAUAAACUUUAUAGCCAUAAAAAAUUAAAAAUGAAACUUUCAGAAAAACGAUCUUUCAGAGCGGAUUUUGCACAUUAGAUGAGCUCAUUUUAAAUAACUCUUUAAUGUGCGCAAUUACGCAUCACAAUGUCCAGCACGAUUCAACAACAAUAAUAAUAAUAAAAAAACGGACAAAUACAUUGUGAAUUUGGCGUUUUUUGACGCACAAUUGCGCACGACAGGAUUUCAUAGUUAUGUUUUCAACCCUAUAAUCCCCCCUCCAUUAUUAUUAUUGUCAUAAUUUUGGUGUUAUUUGCAGAUUUAAAGCAGCUUAGACAUUUAA
Non-coding RNA from Xyrichtys novacula (pearly razorfish), 4132 nucleotides. NCBI's taxonomy places the organism in Eukaryota, Metazoa, Chordata, Actinopteri, Labriformes, Labridae. The record is from the annotation of a GenBank genome assembly.